Molecule: small RNA, 489 nt
Filed under: Fusarium proliferatum
Lineage: Eukaryota; Fungi; Ascomycota; Sordariomycetes; Hypocreales; Nectriaceae
Description: eukaryotic LSU rRNA
Rfam family: 5.8S ribosomal RNA (bases 167-320)
Source: RNAcentral
CCUGCGGAGGGAUCAUUACCGAGUUUACAACUCCCAAACCCCUGUGAACAUACCAAUCGUUGCCUCGGCGGAUCAGCCCGCUCCCGGUAAAACGGGACGGCCCGCCAGAGGACCCCUAAACUCUGUUUCUAUAUGUAACUUCUGAGUAAAACCAUAAAUAAAUCAAAACUUUCAACAACGGAUCUCUUGGUUCUGGCAUCGAUGAAGAACGCAGCAAAAUGCGAUAAGUAAUGUGAAUUGCAGAAUUCAGUGAAUCAUCGAAUCUUUGAACGCACAUUGCGCCCGCCAGUAUUCUGGCGGGCAUGCCUGUUCGAGCGUCAUUUCAACCCUCAAGCCCCCGGGUUUGGUGUUGGGGAUCGGCGAGCCCUUGCGGCAAGCCGGCCCCGAAAUCUAGUGGCGGUCUCGCUGCAGCUUCCAUUGCGUAGUAGUAAAACCCUCGCAACUGGUACGCGGCGCGGCCAAGCCGUUAAACCCCCAACUUCUGAAUGU